Molecule: long non-coding RNA, 1014 nt
Organism: Ahaetulla prasina
Lineage: Eukaryota; Metazoa; Chordata; Lepidosauria; Squamata; Colubridae
Exons: 3
Source: RefSeq, a predicted model, not a curated record
AGGGCAGAGCCAGAGAAAGGAUUAAUCGGAAAGCAAGGUAGUAAAAAUAAUUUCCAGCCAGACCAGUUUCUGAGGAUGGCAGGAAUAAUCUGCUGAGGAGGGUCGUGAGCUGGUUGCAUUCUUGAAAUACCUUCCUGCCAAAGCAGCCUAAUGAAAAUGUUCAGUUUGUGUAAAAAAAACGCUAACUACAUCUUGGGUGAGAUGGAAAACUAGGUGCUGGGAACAGGAAUGGAAUGGAGUCUCCAGAAAAAGAGCACAGUUACCUGGAUGGAAAGGGGAACCCAAGUACUUCUUGCACAGGGGAGUAAUUCCAUUUCUCACACCAGCGCCAGUCUGAAAGCUCGGAAGACUAAACCUCUGGUCCCAGUGAAUGACCCAGAUUGGAUCAUGCAAGAAAAUUAUUACACCGGAGAAGAAAAAUAUCCAUCCAUGCAUCCAUCCAUAUUGUACAUUCCCUGCUUCCCUCCAGGAGCUCAAGGUGACAGAGUUCUUUUAGGUCACUUUUUUACUUUAUUCCCAUAAUGACCAUGGGGUAGUUUGAGCUGAGAGAUAAUAACGUCUCAAAACUUCUGAGACCACCUACUGCCACCGUUUGCCUCCCACCGACCCGUGCGCUCUCACAGAGAGGGACUCCUCAGGGUACCGUCAGCCAAGCAAUGUCGGCUGGCGGCCCCCAGGGGAAGGGCCUUCUCUGUGGGGGCUCCCACCCUCUGGAACGAACUUCCCCCAGGACUUCGUCAACUGCCGGACCUUCGGACCUUCCGCUGUGAGCUGAAGACGUAUCUAUUUAUUCGCGCAGGACUGGCAUAGACUUUUUAGAAGUUUUUAUUAUUCGGUUUUAAAUUUUAAAGUGGGUUUUAUUGUUCUAAAUGCAUUUUAAUUUGGGGCCAUAUUUAAUAAGUUUUUUAAUUAUUGAUUUUAUUCUGUAUUUAUUCAUUGUUGUUUUAUUUGACUGUGAACCGCCCUGAGUCCUUCGGGAGAAGGGCGGUAUAAAAAUUUAAUAAAUAAAUAAAU